This 222-nucleotide ribosomal RNA is filed under the name uncultured Planctomycetales bacterium. Its description in RNAcentral is "partial 16S ribosomal RNA". It matches the Rfam family "Bacterial small subunit ribosomal RNA", at positions 439 to 652 of the family's 1533-position model. The record is from RNAcentral. Lineage: Bacteria; Pseudomonadati; Planctomycetota; Planctomycetia; Planctomycetales.
GGAGUUAGGAAAUGUAAGUUUGAGAAUACCAAAUUUACUUGACAAAAGCUCCAAAGGAAGCCACGGCUAACUCUGUGCCAGCAGCCGCGGUAAUACAGAGGUGGCGAGCGUUGUUCGGAAUUAUUGGGCGUAAAGAGCACGUAGGUGGAUUUGUAAGUCAGAUGUGAAAGCCUUCUGUUCAACGGAAGAAUUGCAUCUGAAACUACAAACCUUGAGUAUAGG